UACGUAGGGUGCAAGCGUUGUCCGGAAUUAUUGGGCGUAAAGAGCUCGUAGGCGGUCUGUCACGUCGGCUGUGAAAACCCGGGGCUCAACCCCGGGCCUGCAGUCGAUACGGGCAGACUAGAGUGUGGUAGGGGAGACUGGAAUUCCUGGUGUAGCGGUGAAAUGCGCAGAUAUCAGGAGGAACACCGGUGGCGAAGGCGGGUCUCUGGGCCAUAACUGACGCUGAGAAGCGAAAGCAUGGGGAGCGAACAGG
RNAcentral lists this ribosomal RNA (253 nucleotides) under uncultured bacterium. Its description in RNAcentral is "partial 16S ribosomal RNA". It matches the Rfam family "Bacterial small subunit ribosomal RNA", at positions 524 to 776 of the family's 1533-position model. The record is from RNAcentral.